This 79-nucleotide transfer RNA is filed under the name Mycobacterium phage Krypton555. RNAcentral's name for it is "tRNA-Pro". It matches the Rfam family "tRNA". From Rfam's summary of the family: Transfer RNA (tRNA) molecules are approximately 80 nucleotides in length. Their secondary structure includes four short double-helical elements and three loops (D, anti-codon, and T loops). Further hydrogen bonds mediate the characteristic L-shaped molecular structure. tRNAs have two regions of fundamental functional importance: the anti-codon, which is responsible for specific mRNA codon recognition, and the 3' end, to which the tRNAs corresponding amino acid is attached (by aminoacyl-tRNA synthetases). tRNAs cope with the degeneracy of the genetic code in two manners: having more than one tRNA (with a specific anti-codon) for a particular amino acid; and 'wobble' base-pairing, i.e. permitting non-standard base-pairing at the 3rd anti-codon position. Lineage: Duplodnaviria; Heunggongvirae; Uroviricota; Caudoviricetes; Vilmaviridae. The record is from RNAcentral.
UCUGGUUGUAGCGCAGCUUGGUAGCGCGCCUGAUUUGGAUUCAGGGGGUCGGAGGUUCAAAUCCUUCCAGCCAGACAUG